GAAGGGGCUAGGGGAAGCUUCCGGCUAGAGCAGCGUUGCUGGUUUCGCACGUGUGUUUCCCCUUCGGGAUUCCCGGAUUACCCCUGCCCCUGGUGAAUUUAUCGGGCCUGGGUUCCCCUGCAGAUUUAAAGAUGAAGGUGAGAAGAAAUAAAAAACAGGUCCCAAGCUUUCGGAAGUUGCUAAAAACUAGUAAAGUCAAACUUGAAAACAAGCUAAAAAACAAACAAUUUAAACAACAAAGCACUAUCAAGAAGUACCGAAAAGAACAGAGGAAACUAAGACAAGCUGUAAAAGAUGCUGUGUCUAAGAAACCUAUUCCACUGGAGGACCCAAAGGAAAAACGACCAGGUAAAAGGAUUGAGAGGGAAGAGGAAGAAGAGGAGGAAGCCCUUCCUUUAGAUAUGAUGGAUGAAGAUGACUUACAGUUAAUGAAGGAUUUAGGGCAAAGAGCAUCUUUUCUAACGAGAGAUCUUUCUUCUAGUGAGCCUGUUCACGCCAGGAAGCGGAAGCAUGAGCGUGUUAUAGAUAAAUAUGAAAAAAUACCAAGAACUCUGCAAACUGCACCAGAGAAGGAACUGAUUCACUUACUUCCUAUUAAAGAUAAAAGUGGUAUAAUCCCACAGACCAGAGAGAAACCAGUUAUUGACAGUAACCAAGAUGAAGAGGAUCAAGAGAUGGAACCUGAAGAAGAGAUCAUUGAAGAACCCAUUAAAGAGCUGACAUUAGAAGAACAUUUAAUUGAGAGGAAGAAGAAACUACAGGAGAAGAAAAUGCGUAUCGCAGCCUUGGCAUCUGCCAUAUUAUCAGAUCCAGAAAGUAAUAUAAAAAAAUUGAAAGAAUUACGUUCCAUGCUGAUGGAACAGGAUCCUGACGUGGCUGUUACUGUUCGAAAGCUGGUGAUAGUUUCUCUGAUGGAGUUAUUUAAAGACAUUACUCCUUCUUAUAAAAUACGACCCCUAACAGAGGCAGAAAAAUCUACCAAGAUCCGCAAAGAAACCCAAAAGUUAAGAGAAUUUGAAGAAGGCCUGGUUAGCCAAUAUAAAUUUUACUUGGAAAAUCUGGAGCAAAUGGUUAAAGACUGGAAGCAAAGGAAGCUGAAGAAAAGUAACGUGGUUUCCUUAAAGGCCUACAGGGGACUGGCAGCGGUGGCUGUGAAGAGCCUGUGUGAGCUGCUGGUGGCCCUGCCUCAUUUCAACUUUCACAACAACAUCAUUGUACUGAUUGUUCCUCUCAUGAAUGACAUGUCAACAUCGAUAUCUGAAAUGUGUUGUGAAGCAGUAAAGAAACUCUUUAAACAAGAUAAAUUAGGCCAAGCAUCACUGGGUGUAAUUAAAGUGAUUUCUGGUUUUGUGAAAGGCAGAAAUUAUGAAGUUAGGCCAGAGAUGUUAAAAACAUUCUUGUGCUUAAGGAUCAAAGAAGUAGAAGUGAAAAAAGAUACAGAGGAUAUUAAUAAACAAAAAAAGUUCAUGACUUUCAAGGAAAAGAGAAAAACUCUAUCAAGAAUGCAGAGAAAGUGGAAGAAAGCAGAAGAGAAACUAGAGAGAGAGCUUCGGGAGGCAGAAGCUUCGGAGAGUACUGAGAAAAAACUUAAACUGCACACGGAGACUCUGAAUAUCGUGUUUGUGACCUACUUCAGAAUAUUGAAGAAGGCCCAGAGGUCACCUCUCCUGCCAGCAGUUCUGGAAGGUCUUGCCAAGUUUGCUCACCUUAUAAAUGUGGAGUUUUUUGAUGAUUUAUUAGUAGUUCUACAUUCUCUCAUUGAGUCUGGUGACCUAAGCUAUCAAGAAAGUCUUCACUGUGUCCAGACUGCUUUUCAUGUUCUUUCUGGGCAAGGUGAUGUUCUGAAUAUUGAUCCAAUGAAAUUCUAUACACAUCUUUACAAAACACUGUUCAAGUUACAUGCAGGUGCUACGAAUGAAGGUGUUGAGAUCGUCCUCCAGUGCCUUGACGUCAUGCUGACUAAGCGCAGAAAGCAAGUUUCUCAGCAGCGGGCCCUUGCCUUCAUCAAGCGCCUUUGUACCCUUGCUCUUCACGUGCUUCCAAAUUCAAGCAUUGGCAUUUUAGCAACUAACAGAAUAUUAAUGCAUACUUUCCCCAAAACAGAUCUGUUGCUUGACAAUGAAUCUCAGGGUAGUGGAGUUUUCCUUCCUGAGCUGGAUGAACCUGAGUACUGCAAUGCUCAGAACACUGCUCUUUGGGAAUUGCAUGCACUGAGGCGACAUUACCAUCCUAUAGUGCAGAGAUUUGCAGCUCACCUCAUCGCUGGAGCCCCUUCCGAAGGCUCAGAGGCACUCAAACCAGAGUUGAGCCGAAGAUCUGCUGCAGAACUUUUUGAGGCUUAUAGCAUGGCAGCAAUGACAUUCAAUCCUCCUGUUGAAUCUUCAAAUUCCAGAAGGAAGGAUAAAGUGUUACAAGGGGAUUCAUUUUUAAGUGAAGAGAUAAGUCAGCUAAUCAAAAGACAUUGUAGUGAAGUUACCACUCAGUUGCCUCUGGAUUUCACCAAAUAUUUGGAAACAUCACUACGCUUAAGGAUGAAUUUUCCUGCACCUUUCCACCUGCUUUGAGCUUGAAAAACACACUCCUGAUCCAAAAGGACACGCUGGGAGGACUUCGGGGUAGAAGACUUCCUGUUGGCAAUGUCUUUCACCACCUCUUCCAAAAGCACGUAAUCACCCGGGUUCGGGUUGCUCAAGAUGCUAUAGGAAUAUUUGGCUUUGCAUAAGGUCUGAAACACAAGUUAUGAUCAACUGAAUAAAGACACACUAUCUCCAACACCUGCUUCACUGUAGAUGAGACUUUGAGGUGGGAAAAUAUCAGACUUUAAGAGAUGGAGGGGGUCUUUCAGAUCAUGUCAUCCCACUUCUCAUUAUACCUUGUCAUAGUUGUAGCUAGCUUAUAGGAACUUCCCCACAUUGCCUCAUUUAGCUUCACAACCGUCCAUGAUUUAGGUGUUACUAUGCCCAUUUUCCAGACAAGGAAGUUUAAGCAUACAGAGGUCAGGCAGAUUCCAGUGGAUGCACAGCUAGUAAGUAACAGAAAAAGGACUUGAACUGGAUUUUCUGCAUCCACCAAAGCUGGUAGAGACGGAAGGUCAUGCAGACAGUGAGAGACAGAAGCUUGACCCUCAGGAGCCUCUCUGUCCCACGAGGCUCCCUCUUCAUCUCAGAGUCUUGGAUGUUAGAACUUACCUGGUCUCACUUCUCAUUUAGUACAAGAUUAUCUUUCAUUUAUGCAUUUAUUCACUCAUCACAUGUUUAGUGAGGGCUUACUAUGUCCCAGAUACUGUAUAUAGUUUGGGGAGUUCCAGGUCUAUUAAGGAGGCUAAUAUUAACCAAACUAUCAUGCAAUAAGAAUAGCAAAUAGCACUUAAGUAGUGUUUGCCAUGUCCUAGGUGUUGUAAUAGGCGAAUGUGCUUUACAUAUAUUUAUUUAAUCUUCACAAUACCUCUUUAAGGAAAGUGCUAAUGUACCAUCUCCAUGUUAUCUGCAUGGUAGCUUAGCACAUGGUGUUGUGCUGGAGUCCACUGGCAUCAGAUGUGGUGGGAGGAGUUACAAGAUAGAAACUGGCAAAUGCUACAAAAUCAGGGCUUUUUUUUUUUUGAAGAGAGCCAGUUUACCAGCACUCCAGUGUAACUAAGGCACAGAUGGUUCAAUAACUUGUCCAAGCUCUCAGAGCUAGUAGGAAGUAGAGCUGGGAUUUGCACCUGGAGCAAUCUGAUCUAGAGUCUGUUAACUGUUAUGCUGUCUUCUCAAGUGAGUGUUUAAUAAACGCAAACCAUAACAGGGCUUCAAAAGAAGGAAACAGAGUUCUGUGAAGCCAUGUACACAGAGAAGCAUGACCAGAGGAGGGGAGAGGGUCAGAGGAGGCCUCCUGCAUGUCCUCUGCAGGAUCUCUGAGAGAUGGCCAUUAAGUAUUGGCUUAGGCCUUUCUGGGAUGAUGACGUUCCCGCUCUGCAGAGCCACCUUCUAGAUCCAUUAUCGAGGCUUCAGAGAGAGCCUGACUCACAGUAGAUACUGGGCAAGUAUCGUUGAAGGAAUCAGUAUUUCCCAGCCUUAAGAGGCACGCUGUCCCUUGUCAGGUCCCCUUUGUUCUAGAACCUCAUUCACAAAGGGAGCUGAAAUCUGAUUUGUCCCAAUAGUUCACACUGAGGACAGGACUGAGGUGAGGAAGGGGAGGGCUUCACCUGCUGAAUGACGUCCUGCGCGGUGCUGACGCGGGGUGCCUUGAUGACCGUUCGCGGUUGCUCUGGAGAAACGUCAUGCACUUGGACAAAGAAACUCUCCUCCUCUGAGCUCAAGAUCAUCUCCUUGUCAUCUUGAACGAUGCUCUUCUCUUCCAGGUUCUAUGUUAAAAAAGAAGAAAAGUCUGAGUAGAUGGUAAGAUGAUGUAGAAUAAGGAAAGAAAAACCUAGCAAAAAUUUGACAUGGAUCUUGGUAAUGUGGAAGCAACUUCUUAGCUUUAUAUUCCAUACGCUAGUUACUACUUCAUAAACUAUUCUAAAAGGAUACACAUCUCUUCUUAGAGGAGGAAAGUACUGUAAGUUUCUGCUGAUGUUGACACACUGAUAAGGUUUGGUCCAGAACAAGCCAGUAGAUCUGCUCCUAUUAGCUGUGGGUUUUGAGUCCAAAUCAGCUAGAGAUAAAUUUGUAAAAAGACAAUAUGCCAUUUUGCCAAUUACUAAACGCCAAAUAAGAACAAUAAAUACAUUUAAGAGAAAUCUUCCCAUUCCCCCACAGACCUUGAGCACUUAAGAAAUGCUAGACAUCUGAAACGUGAAACAUGCAAAAUCGGCAUUCAGGCGGGCUGGAUGAACAAAACCCACAGUGGAAAGGCUAAAACAAUGACUGGAACAGGUGUCAGAGGAGAGCAUAUUGACCAUAAGAAGAUACCUAACAGCUUGGGAGCCCAGAAGACAAGAAAAUCAUACAAAGCAGGCAGGCAAGAUCAGAGAGGCUAAACUUGAAGUGAGUCACCAGAGAAGGCUGCCACCAUCCGGCUUAGAUUGAGCAAACGUUCUUCUCUUCAGGCAUCCCCCCCACCGGCCCCCAACAAUGAUGCAAGGACUCGAGUCAGCACUUGGCACUGCUGCAUCUCACUUGGAGAAGCAGAAUGAACUGGGGAUGGGGUGGGGGAGAAGAUUCUCAAGAAGACCCUGCUCCCCUUACCCCAGCCCCUGGUCUGUGGUCGAUGCUGGGCUGUGGAUUGUGUGGGGCAAGGCAGCUACUACUACAACAAUAAUUCAGGGCACGAAGCUUCCAGGAGCAGGUCAGUUGACACUGUUAGCUCCAUGAUAGGGCCAGCGUCACUCCCUCCCCAGUCCUGCUUUAUAGCCCUGUGAUUACUCACGUAGGGUGACAGUAAUAUGCUACUUUUUAUGGGUGGUCCGUGGAAAUGUUUCCUUACUUUACAUCAUCGUAUUUUAUAACGUCUCCAAAACCCCAACAGUGCUUUGUGAUAGUAGACACCAAAGUUCAUGGACGGACUGAUUUAAAAAACAAAGCCCCCCAAACCCCUUGGUAGUAGCUUCUGUUUGAUAAUCUGUGAAAUCUGACUCGAGCUGCUUUCUCUGACUUUAAGUCCGUUGUAAAAUGUUGGGCAAAAUGUUAACCUGUGCAUAGAGAUUCCCCUCAAAGGAGAACUGUUUAUUAACUACAGGCUCAGUGAACUUACUUGUUGGAGAAGCUGCUUUGCCUUGGUGCCUCCAUUUAUGGAGAAAACAGCAAAGGGCUCUGGACCUGGGACCCCAUGUACUGUGACUCUGUGAAUCUGCAAACAUUUUCUUUCUUCUGUAUU
RNA transcript from Mesoplodon densirostris (Blainville's beaked whale), 5793 nucleotides. It is a transcript of the gene named NOC3 like DNA replication regulator, with no coding region annotated. The transcript has 24 exons. NCBI's taxonomy places the organism in Eukaryota, Metazoa, Chordata, Mammalia, Artiodactyla, Ziphiidae. The record is from RefSeq and is a predicted model, not a curated record.